UAGUAUUUAUAGCAACUUUGGCACUUGUUGUGCAGGAAAAUAUAUUUUCUUUGUCAUGGGAAAGUAAUGAAAAAAUAAUGUAUUUUUGAUAAGUAAAGUAUCUGGAUUCUUGAAAUUGUGAGCAAAUACAGAAAGAUUUUGUAGAAAUAGUUAAUGUCAAUUUUGACCUUGUUAAAAGAAAAGAUAAAGAAAGAAAAAAAGGGUAAUUUUGUAAAUUUAAUAAUCAACACUGAUAAAAACUUGCAAUUUAUGGCAUGUGUAAUACAUGCUCUAACACCGUUUCUGAUUAGAGUAAAUUGCCCAAUUUUGAAUAAUAAAAGGGUUUAAUUCGCGAAAUUAAAGUACAAGGGGGGAACUUAUCUUUGGAUUAUAGUUGAAGGGCUUAAUUCAG
Molecule: unclassified non-coding RNA, 391 nt
Filed under: Hevea brasiliensis (rubber tree)
Lineage: Eukaryota; Viridiplantae; Streptophyta; Magnoliopsida; Malpighiales; Euphorbiaceae
Source: RNAcentral